GUCAGCAGCCGCGGUAAUACCCGCAGCCCAAGUGGUGGUCGAUUUAUUGAGUCUAAAACGUUCGUAGCCGGUUCAUUAAAUCCUUGGGUAAAUCGGAUGGCUUAACUAUCCGAAUUCCGGGGAGACUGGUGAACUUGGGACCGGGAGAGGCAGGAGGUACUUUUGGGGUAGGGGUAAAAUCCUGUAAUCCUAAAAAGGACCACCGGUGGCGAAGGCGUCUUGCUAGAACGGAUCCGACGGUGAGGGACGAAGCCCUGGGUCGCAAACGGGAUUAGAUACCCCGGUAGUCCAGGGUGUAAACGCUGCAGACUUGGUGUUGGGGACCCUUCGGGGUGUUCAGUGCCGGAGAGAAGUUGUUAAGUCUGCUACUUGGGGAGUACGUCCGCAAGGAUGAAACUUAAAGGAAUUGGCGGGGGAGCACCGACCAACGGGAGGAACGUGCGGUUUAAUUGGAUUCAACACCGGAAACUCACCAGCAGCGACUAUUACAUGAAAGUCAGGCCGAUGACCUUACUAGAUUUUUAGAGAGGAGUGGUGCAUGG
This 542-nucleotide ribosomal RNA is filed under the name uncultured archaeon. RNAcentral's name for it is "bacterial SSU rRNA". It matches the Rfam family "Archaeal small subunit ribosomal RNA", at positions 457 to 997 of the family's 1478-position model. The record is from RNAcentral.